This 439-nucleotide ribosomal RNA is filed under the name uncultured bacterium. RNAcentral describes it as "partial 16S ribosomal RNA". It matches the Rfam family "Bacterial small subunit ribosomal RNA", at positions 339 to 795 of the family's 1533-position model. The record is from RNAcentral.
CUACGGGUGGCAGCAGUGGGGAAUAUUGCACAAUGGAGGAAACUCUGAUGCAGCAACGCCGCGUGGAGGAUGACACUUUUCGGAGCGUAAACUCCUUUUAUAUAGGAAGAAGAUGACGGUACUAUAUGAAUAAGCGCCGGCUAACUCCGUGCCAGCAGCCGCGGUAAUACGGAGGGCGCAAGCGUUACGCGGAAUCACUGGGCGUAAAGAGCGUGUAGGCGGAUUAAAAAGUCAGAAGUGAAAUCCUAUAGCUUAACUAUAGAACUGCUUCUGAAACUCUUAAUCUAGAAUAUGGGAGAGGUAGAUGGAAUUUCUGGUGUAGGGGUAAAAUCCGUAGAGACCAGAAGGAAUACCGAUUGCGAAGGCGAUCUACUAGAACAUUAUUGACGCUGAGACGCGAAAGCGUGGGGAGCAAACAGGAUUAGAUACCCCGGUAGUC